Molecule: transfer RNA, 83 nt
Filed under: Blumeria hordei DH14
Lineage: Eukaryota; Fungi; Ascomycota; Leotiomycetes; Helotiales; Erysiphaceae
Description: tRNA-Thr for anticodon UGU
Rfam family: tRNA
About the family: Transfer RNA (tRNA) molecules are approximately 80 nucleotides in length. Their secondary structure includes four short double-helical elements and three loops (D, anti-codon, and T loops).
Source: Rfam by way of RNAcentral
GCCUCUUUGGCGCAGUGGUAACGCGUAGCACUUGUACAACGAAGUCAAUGCUAAGAUCACAGGUUCGAUUCCUGUAGGAGGCA